This 241-nucleotide long non-coding RNA is filed under the name Physcomitrium patens. RNAcentral describes it as "long non-coding RNA (PPAT_LNC005873)". The record is from RNAcentral. Lineage: Eukaryota; Viridiplantae; Streptophyta; Bryopsida; Funariales; Funariaceae.
AAAUACUAAAUCAACUAAAAUAAUUACCUCCAAGACUUACUAAGACUCCAUUUCUUCUCCACUAAAUUUAUUCUUCUUUCUUUAAUAUCUUUUAAGCACAUCUUUACCUAAUAAUUGUAAUUUAGGAACUCUCUAUGCAUUCUUUUGUCCUAAAACAACUAGUGAGUCAAUCUGAUGACUCACACCAUGGUCAAUCAAAGCAACAAUAGGCUCAUCUAUAUCUACAAUCUUCACUAAUGUC